UAUUUCUUCUGUGUUUACAUUGAUGCAAGCGGCCGAGCAGCUGAUUUAUCUUCAUUUGUCAGUUUGAUGGACUGGUACUAAUUGCGUGAGUAGGGUGCUCGUUUCCCCGCCGAUGCGCGGCUUGUGCAACAGGUGAUAUUUAGUUGCUAGUGCACAUCUCUUUCUGGAUGCUACCUGCCAAAGCUGUCAUUAAGAUUUCAGGUGUGUUUUUAUACAAGCAGAGUAAAAUGUCUGGAGGCAAUAGGAUCCUUUUUGGGGGGGUGUGUGGUAAUGAGUUUACUUGCUCCUUUUAUGCUGAGAAGCAAUAACAAUGCCCAAAGUCUGAAAGUUUGUGUGCCAUCAAGCAUGAUGUUACACUGUAGUUUUCUCUGGUAAGAAAAUCCUGAACACAAUUGGUUUGGGAGUUUUCUUGUAAAAUAUACUGUGAGAAAAACGACAAGAUUUAGUUUUGUUUAUCUAGCUUAAAUAUAAACAAUCUCAUUUUCAUAAUGUGUGAAAUUUGUCUGUUUUAAAUGGAGUGUUCAUCUGCUUCGUCUGGAAGUGUCAGUUACUCAUACAUGAUGACAGAAGUGCAUUAAUAAGGCAGUCAGGAACAAAAUGCCAGGGCCAUCACGUUCUGUCUCUUGACACCCUGGAAAUCCUACUGUUUAGUUUUCACUUACCAUGGCAGAUUGCCUAAGUAUCGAAAAGAAAUGCACCUAAUCCUGAAAUGCACUUUUGACCCCUUGUCUUUGACCCUGACACAUGCUGACAUUGGAAAUUAAAUUUUGGCAGUUUUGCUGCAUUCAGUAAAGGGAAGUUUGCAGAGGCAGACAGAAAAUCUAUUCCUACUCUGUAGAUUUAUCACAAAAAUGCCGAAAGCAAACAACAAAGCAAGUUUGCUUUAGUGGAAACAAACUCACACCUUUGCUCUUUCAAAGAUCCUGUUUACAAGUUAAAGCCAUGGCUCAGACUGUCUUUCUUCUUAAACUACCAAUCUAUAGGUGCUGCCUGAAGGCACUUGCAAAGGAAAAGAUCAGGAGAUAUCCUGCUGCUAUCAUGGUCUAACAGAAGCACUUGAUGUUCUGAAUACUGGAUGAUUGUGUUUCUGUAGUCUGAGAGCCUGGAGAGCUGAAGCUGAAAUAGAGGCACAGGUGUGCUGUCACCAGCAAAAUGAUUGCUCUGUGCAGAAAAACUCCAGCUGAAGUUACCCAGACCAAUACAAAUCUUUCUGGCUCAAAGUGUAUUCCCAAUAAGCCUAUUAAUGGGUUAUAUCCUAAAAAGAUUCAGAAAAGGUCAGUUGAAAGGACUCCUAAUGUUACCUUCCUCAAAGGCUCUGCCCACGUUGAGGCACAGUUUGGGUUCAGCUCUAGCUGUUCCAUUAGCAGCCUGGCAAGAGCUUGGAUGAGAUGUUAGGAACUAUAUUUUCUUCUUGGAGGAGGAGGAGGGGAAGGUUUUGAAUUUUGUUAGAAUUAAACAAGGUGCUGUGAGGCACAAGUGGCUUUGUAUAUUUUUAAAACAUUUUUAUUUACUUUUAUUUCCUUACUGUGACUGGAUUUGUGCUAAACAUUUUUCUGUGUUACAGGUCAUGCAUGAGACAAAAUUCAUCGUGGAUUGCUUCUAAGACUGUUGUCAGCAUGGAAUUCCCUCUCAGAAUGGAUCCAAUCUGUAUUUGGAGAGAAUGAAAUAAAAUCAUUAUAGAUCGUGAAACAGAUCUAGCAAAGAAAGUGCUGUGAGAACAUGACAAGAAAUUUCUCCUGUCACAUGGUGGUUGUAAAAGUUAAUGCACAGAAAGAAAGUGAUGAAGGAUUUGUUAUGCUGGCUAGAAAAUAAAUGCAAUAAGUGUGUAGUGUAAUUGGGAAGAAAACCCAAGUAUUUUGGUGCCCAGUUCUGCGCUCUGUUUGCUGGCAAAGACUAAUUUGUAUUUUGGCACUCUAAGAAAGUGGUACAUGGAGGUGACUUGAUAGGAUUGCUGAUAACUUGUCAGGUUUCUGCUGGGCACUGUUGUUGGUACAGUUCUGGUGUGAAACUCCAUUUUAAAUAUAGAAACAGAUAUGUUAAAAAGAAGUAAAAUAUCCUCUUUUUCCUUUCUGUCCAGGAAAUUGCUGUUAACCCUUUUCCCAAACCGUUUCCUCUUUCCAGAAGAUGUUUUUACAGUAAGUGAAGUAGGCAGUGUGGUGUCAGGAUACCAAACAGAAGAUAAGCUCCAAACUUCAUAGCCAUGGAAGUUGCUGAUGGCUGCUUUUUACUUUGCAUUUCCUCUUGCUGGCUGGUUCUGCAUCAUCACUCCCUCAUGUGUGUGUGUUUAUUACAUUCUCAGUUAUGACAUGGCAUUUUUUACUUGCAGUGAAAGAUCACUACAAAUAUAACAGAAAUGCAAGGGUAUUGUUACAAUGCCUCACCUAAACAUUUGCUCAAGAGCAGGUGCCUUAUCUUUAAAAUCCUCUGGAUGGCACUGAAGCCUUAGAUAUAUAUACUCAGAGCCUUUUCUUUCGGGUACCAAAUCCUAUUAUCUAGGUUAGCUCAUCUGUAUUCAAAAGAUCAAUGUUGCAUUAUUACAAAGAUCCUUUCAAGUGUAAAAAGGAUGGCACUUCAUUACAGAAAGUAAAAGAAACUAAUCAAACUUUCUUGGUGAAAUCAUUGACUUUUUAUAGUAAAGGGCAAAUUUAAGAAUUUGAAAGUCCGAAAUGUAAGAGUCUUACAGUUGAGGCUCUGUGCUGCUCUAACUUAAAUCUCCUGUAGCACAGUUCUUGGAUUUUCAUAUAAUCUGGAGAAGAAAGUGGUGUAACUGUCCUGAUGGCUUCUGGCUAAGCCAAGUUGACAUUUGCCCUGCUGCAAUCUGAUAUUCUGUGUUGCUUAGGAAGUGUCCAGUGUGCAAAGAAGGUCUUUAUAUGAGAUAAUCUCAUUGCUGAGGACAGUUAGUUGUGCCGUAGCAGAUACUCAGUUAACCUGAAAUCAUAACGUGUUUGAGUCCUUGUCUAGGAUGUCUUUUAGCUUUGUGCAACUUGUCAUAACAAAUACUCAGCUGUUUUUCCCUUUUUUGUUAUGUUUCAUUUGUCAAAGGACAGCACAGAAUUGUACAGAUUCCUAGUUUAUUUCUGAUAGCCAGAUCUCCUGUCUCAUGUCUCUUCUUUGUAGCUUUCCAAAUGCUUUGUUACAGAAUUGGUUAUUACUGCCUUACACUGCCUAAGGAUAGAUCCAGGACAGAACUCAGACCACUGAACUUCAGAGAACUGGUGCUGAUUAGCAGCUCCUCUAUAAACACCUCACUGCACGAGAGGAGCUGCCAAAGGUCAGUGCCAUAGCAGAUCUCAGCAGCACUGAAAGCAGACCAGUCCAACCAGCUUGUACCAGUUGGCACUUUGAACUCAACUCCUGCUUCUCCAUCUCAUCUCAAACAGUCUUACACUUCCUUCCUUGGUCAAGGUUUAGAGGAUGCAGAACUGAAAUCCUCUGCCAUUUUACCAUGACUCAGGAAGGCUAAAGUAGACUGCACAAAGCUAUCAAGCUGGAUUGCAAGUCUUUUUAUAAGGCUAUUUUCCUUACAUUUCAGCAUUUUAUUUGUUCACCAAAUGUUUUGACUGAUCCAUCAUCUUCAGGUGUUGAUUUCAAUGGAAACACUGUGCUUGAUCUAAAGAACAACACAAAUAAAUGUUGACUGUAUCAGUAUCAAUCAAAAUAGUCUUACUAUUCUUCUGCAAGAAUUUAGAGGAAAGCGAGUUGUUUGGUUUUUUUUUUAUAAACGUAUGUUAUUGUUAACCAUCCUUUGUAGAAUAUGGCCCUACUUAAAAAGGUAUUAAAAAUAUUUUCUGUGUUUUCAGACAUC
Molecule: long non-coding RNA, 3805 nt
Organism: Passer domesticus (house sparrow)
Lineage: Eukaryota; Metazoa; Chordata; Aves; Passeriformes; Passeridae
Exons: 3
Source: RefSeq, a predicted model, not a curated record